Molecule: ribosomal RNA, 568 nt
Filed under: uncultured bacterium
Lineage: Bacteria
Description: bacterial SSU rRNA
Rfam family: Bacterial small subunit ribosomal RNA
Source: RNAcentral
CCUACGGGAGGCAGCAGUGGGGAAUAUUGCACAAUGGGCGCAAGCCUGAUGCAGCGACGCCGCGUGAGGGAUGACGGCCUUCGGGUUGUAAACCUCUUUCAGUAGGGAAGAAGCGAAAGUGACGGUACCUGCAGAAGAAGCGCCGGCUAACUACGUGCCAGCAGCCGCGGUAAUACGUAGGGCGCAAGCGUUAUCCGGAAUUAUUGGGCGUAAAGAGCUCGUAGGCGGUUUGUCGCGUCUGCCGUGAAAGUCCGGGGCUCAACUCCGGAUCUGCGGUGGGUACGGGCAGACUAGAGUGAUGUAGGGGAGACUGGAAUUCCUGGUGUAGCGGUGAAAUGCGCAGAUAUCAGGAGGAACACCGAUGGCGAAGGCAGGUCUCUGGGCAUUAACUGACGCUGAGGAGCGAAAGCAUGGGGAGCGAACAGGAUUAGAUACCCUGGUAGUCCAUGCCGUAAACGUUGGGCACUAGGUGUGGGGGACAUUCCACGUUUUCCGCGCCGUAGCUAACGCAUUAAGUGCCCCGCCUGGGGAGUACGGCCGCAAGGCUAAAACGUCAAAGGAUUGACGG